The sequence is a ribosomal RNA, 590 nucleotides long. The stretch from base 196 to 351 matches the Rfam family "5.8S ribosomal RNA".
GGGGUUGUAGCCGUCGGGCGUCUCGUCCGGCGCGCACGCCCCCUCGUUUCAAAUCCCACAAACACUUUUGUGCACCAUAGGUCUCGUGCCCCCCAUGAGGAGACGCCUCGCGAGAGCGGGGCUGGGGUCGUGUACCUCUUCAUUACAUCCGGUCUCGACGCAUGUGUAUCGCUUCGGCGAGAUUGAUAAUAAUACAACUUUCAACAACGGAUCUUUUGGCUUUCGCAUCGAUGAAGGACGCCGCGAAAGUGCGAAACGUAAUGUGAAUUGCAGAAUUCAGUGAAUCAUCGAAAUCUUUGAACGCAUCUUGCGCCCCUUGGUAUUCCGAGGGGCAUGCCUGUUUGAGCGUCGUGAACUUCCAUCGACCCUCGACCUUGUAAUGAGGUCUCGGGGCGGAUUUGGGCGCUGCGGGUCCCGUUCGCGGUCCGCUCGCCUUGAAAUGCAUCAGCCGGUCUCUAAUGCCUCGGUCUGACGGCGGCGUGAUAAGGUGYUCGUGCCGUAAUCGUCGUCUGGGAUCGGGGGCGUUGCGCGAGGCCCCGGCUUCUAAUGGUCUUCGGACGAACUUCAUUGCGAUCUGACCUCAAAUCAGG